This 283-nucleotide ribosomal RNA is filed under the name uncultured Archangiaceae bacterium. RNAcentral's name for it is "partial 16S ribosomal RNA". It matches the Rfam family "Bacterial small subunit ribosomal RNA", at positions 1093 to 1382 of the family's 1533-position model. The record is from RNAcentral. Lineage: Bacteria; Pseudomonadati; Myxococcota; Myxococcia; Myxococcales; Archangiaceae.
CGAGCGCACCCUCGCCUCUAGUUGCCGCGCAAGCGGAUCUCUAGAGGGACUGCCGGUGUUAAACCGGAGGAAGGUGGGGAUGACGUCAAGUCCUCAUGGCCUUCAUGACCAGGGCUACACACGUGCUACAAUGGCCGGUACAAAGCGUUGCCAACUCGCGAGAGGGAGCUAAUCGCAUAAAACCGGUCUCAGUUCAGAUUGGAGUCUGCAACUCGACUCCAUGAAGGCGGAAUCGCUAGUAAUCGCGGAUCAGCACGCCGCGGUGAAUACGUUCCCGGGCCUU